RNAcentral lists this ribosomal RNA (460 nucleotides) under uncultured bacterium. RNAcentral's name for it is "partial 16S ribosomal RNA". It matches the Rfam family "Bacterial small subunit ribosomal RNA", at positions 338 to 795 of the family's 1533-position model. The record is from RNAcentral.
CCUACGGGUGGCAGCAGUGAGGAAUAUUGGUCAAUGGGCUUACGCCUGAACCAGCCAAGUCGCGUGAGGGAAGACUGCCCUAUGGGUUGUAAACCUCUUUUGUCAGGGAGCAACGCCGGCUACGUGUAGCCGGACUGAGAGUACCUGAAGAAAAAGCAUCGGCUAACUCGGUGCCAGCAGCCGCGGUAAUACGGGGGAUGCGAGCGUUAUACGGAUUGAUUGGGGUUAAAGGGUGCGUAGGCGGAAUGCCAAGUCAGCGGUAAAAUCGCGGGGCUCAACCUCGGUCCGCCGUUGAAACUGGCGUUCUUGAGUGGGCGAGAAGUAUGCGGAAUGCGUGGUGUAGCGGUGAAAUGCAUAGAUAUCACGCAGAACUCCGAUUGCGAAGGCAGCAUACCGGAGCCCAACUGACGCUGAGGCACGAAAGCGUGGGGAUCGAACAGGAUUAGAUACCCUUGUAGUC